Molecule: ribosomal RNA, 365 nt
Filed under: Vibrio sp. KR09-94
Lineage: Bacteria; Pseudomonadati; Pseudomonadota; Gammaproteobacteria; Vibrionales; Vibrionaceae
Description: bacterial SSU rRNA
Rfam family: Bacterial small subunit ribosomal RNA
Source: RNAcentral
GGCGGACGGGUGAGUAAUGCCUGGGAAAUUGCCCUGAUGUGGGGGAUAACCAUUGGAAACGAUGGCUAAUACCGCAUAANGUCUACGGACCAAAGAGGGGGACCUUCGGGCCUCUCGCUUCAGGAUAUGCCCAGGUGGGAUUAGCUAGUUGGUGAGGUAAUGGCUCACCAAGGCGACGAUCCCUAGCUGGUCUGAGAGGAUGAUCAGCCACACUGGAACUGAGACACGGUCCAGACUCCUACGGGAGGCAGCAGUGGGGAAUAUUGCACAAUGGGCGCAAGCCUGAUGCAGCCAUGCCGCGUGUAUGAAGAAGGCCUUCGGGUUGUAAAGUACUUUCAGUCGUGAGGAAGGCGUUGAAGUUAAUA